UGUGAUUCAUGACUGGGGUGAAGUCGUAACAAGGUAACCGUAGGGGAACCUGCGGUUGGAUCACCUCCUUACCUUAAAGAAGC
Molecule: ribosomal RNA, 83 nt
Filed under: Escherichia coli
Lineage: Bacteria; Pseudomonadati; Pseudomonadota; Gammaproteobacteria; Enterobacterales; Enterobacteriaceae
Also listed under: 3 other names
Description: partial 16S ribosomal RNA
Rfam family: Bacterial small subunit ribosomal RNA (bases 1-71)
Source: RNAcentral